UGGGAAUUUAUUUUGUUGAUGGGUGUCUUGGUUUUUUCUCCAUCUUGUUCUUGUGGUGUGUGUGAAUCUGAAUCUUGUGGUGUGUUGGAGUGAUGGAACUGGGGUUAAAGUUUGGAUUUUGAAGAUGUUAUUCUUAAACCCAUGUCUAUUUUUUUCUUUUUCAGAUGGUUAUGAUUGUGCUUUUAGAGGGUAGAGAAACAAGAA
RNAcentral lists this long non-coding RNA (204 nucleotides) under Vigna radiata. RNAcentral describes it as "long non-coding RNA (VRAD_LNC004164)". Lineage: Eukaryota; Viridiplantae; Streptophyta; Magnoliopsida; Fabales; Fabaceae. The record is from RNAcentral.